Passer domesticus (house sparrow) is the source of this 1582-nucleotide long non-coding RNA. RefSeq lists it as uncharacterized. Lineage: Eukaryota; Metazoa; Chordata; Aves; Passeriformes; Passeridae. The record is from RefSeq and is a predicted model, not a curated record. The transcript is spliced from 3 exons.
CACUUGCUGAUUAUUUUUUUCCUCUUUUGUGAUGAAAAAGCACCUGUUGGAUGUUUAUCACCUCAGCUCUUCUUCAGGAAACAGAACAGACUGGCUGGCAGCAGCUUCAGCACUAACAGGCUGUCAGGAGCAGCUGCCUGAUCCCCAAGCUCCUCUGCCCUCCAUCCCACAGGGGUACAGCUGAAGAAGUGCCUGCAGCUCCUCCUGCACCGGAGGCUGGCUGAUCCUGAGCAGAUCAGCCCUGUGCCUGGCCAGGGGAUGCCAGCUGCCCUCCUUGGCCCACCCUCAUCUCCUCACCUCUCACAGAGGGCUGAGGCUGCCGCCUCCUCAUAGCCCAGCUGUGGGCAGUGCUGUGCAAGGCUGGCAUUCACAGCUUAGCUCAUCCCUUGCACUAGAUGGGAAGGAAAUGUGUCUCCAAAGAAGAGGUGGGUGAUGUCUGGACUCAUUUGAUUGGCCAGGUGGAAGCAGCCAGCCACAGUGUGGCAGUGCCUGAGGUCCCCGUGCCAGCACAGCACAGCACAGCAGCCUGCUGGCUUGGCCAUCAGCCCUCCCUGAACCUUUCCAGUGCAGGUGGCACCAGCUCUGAAACACAGCAGGCACGACGGCAGGGGCACUGCCAGACCACGGAAAGCCUGGGUCGUUGAUGAGGCUGUUAGCACUCUUUCCGUCUUUUAAUGUCCAAGUCCUUACCAGAAGACACUGGCUUAAUCUCAGCUCAACUGGAAAAAUGCCGAUGACUGGAAAUGUCAUCAGCUGCCUGUGGGCCAGGCUGGCCCUGAGCUGAUAAGGAGCAACACGAAAUAAAAAUGUCAACACAAAACUGGAGAAACACAGAGGGUGGUUGCAGCUCUUCUCCAUCCUGUAGGAAGCCGGGCCCCUCUGUUACCAGUCCUAGGAGCUGAACUUUCCCUAAAGCCUCAGUGACCAGCUCUGCUCUUCCUUACAAAAGGGAAAGGUGGCUGCUCUCAAUGCUGCAGAGAAAAAACUGAACUCUUGCCCCAUUGACUUAAAUAAAGAGGGUAAGUUAACUUCUAUUGCUUUCUUUAAUUUUUUUGGGUAAAUGUCAUGAUGUUCUGUGCUGCAGCCUUGUUUUCUUUAAGCACAGGUAAGUGGUGGGAGACCCACCCAGCCAGAAGGAGGGCUGAUCCACCUCCCUCUCAUCUGGAGUAUGAGCUUUGGACACUAGGUUUGGGCAGCAGCUCCUUUCACCCCAUGCCAAGUGUGCUCUCAUGACUCCACAGGAACACCAAAUACUGCACCGUUCUGCAAAAGUAAAGCCAGAAGUGACUAUCUAACCUUCUUUCUUUGGUGGGAGGGAUGUGUUAAUUCUCCAUGGAGAAUGGGAUGCAAAAGCUCAGACCUUGUGACUUCUGGAGCAGAGUAGUGUCUGAAAAUGUCACCCAGGCCUUGAAUCUGUCUGUAUCCCUUCUCCAAGUUUACACAGAAAAUAAAACCUAAAAAGUCUAGGGAACUUUACAUGAACAAGCCAGUUUUUAUAAAAAACCGACUCAUAAAAGCAGCCUGUGAACUUUUCCAUGAGUGUUUUAGUGAGAAAUCUUUGAGACAGAGCCAGAGAGAAGAG